GAUGAAGAACGUAGCGAAAUGCGAUAAGUAAUGUGAAUUGCAGAAUUCAGUGAAUCAUCGAAUCUUUGAACGCACCUUGCGCCCUUUGGCUAUUCUGAAGGGCAUGCCUGUUUGAGUAUCAUGAACACCUCAACUCUCAUGGUUCGCCAUGAUGAGCUUGGACUUUGGGGGUCUUGCUGGCCUACGGUCGGCUCCUCUCAAAUGAAUCAGCUUGCCAGUGUUUGGUAGAGUCGCAGGUGUGAUAACUAUCUACGCUUGUGGUUUUCUGCCAGAUAACCUUCAGUGAUGGAGGUUCGCUGGAGCUUAUAAAUGUCUCUCCCCAGUGAGGACAGCUUUUUGAACGUUUGAUCUCAAAUCAGGUAGGACUACCCGCUGAACUUAAGCAUAUCAUAAGCGGAGGA
This 401-nucleotide unclassified non-coding RNA is filed under the name soil metagenome. RNAcentral describes it as "partial contains 5.8S ribosomal RNA, internal transcribed spacer 2, and large subunit ribosomal RNA". The stretch from base 1 to 121 matches the Rfam family "5.8S ribosomal RNA", at positions 35 to 154 of the family's 154-position model. The record is from RNAcentral.